GACGGGGGCCCGCACAAGCAGUGGAUUAUGUGGUUUAAUUCGAAGCAACGAGAAGAACCUUACCAGGGCUUGACAUCGUCUGCCCGAUAUAGAGAUAGAGUUUCCCUUGGAGACAGAGAGACAGGUGGAGCAUGGUUGUCGUCAGCUCGUGUCGUGAGAUGUUUGGUUAAGUCCAAUAACGAGCGCAACCCCUAUGGUCAGUUACCAUCAUUGAGUUGGGGACUCUGGCAAGAUUACCGCGGACAACCCGGAGGAAGGAGGGGAGGACGUCAAAUCAUCAUGCCCCUUAUGUCCUGGGCUCCACACGUAAUCCAAUGGCAACGCCAGAGGGCAGCAAACCCGGGAGGCAAGCAAAUCCCCAAACUUGUCUCAGUUCGGAAUCGCAGGCUGCAACCCGCCUGCACGAAGUCGGAAUUGCUAGUAAUGGCAGGUCAGCAUACUGCCGUGAAUACGUUCCCGGGCCUUGUACACACCGCCCGUCACACCAUGAGAGUCUGCAAUACCCGAAGUCAGUAGCCUAACCGGAAGGAGGGAGCUGCCUAAUUUGGGGCCGAG
RNAcentral lists this ribosomal RNA (555 nucleotides) under uncultured bacterium. Its description in RNAcentral is "bacterial SSU rRNA". It matches the Rfam family "Bacterial small subunit ribosomal RNA", at positions 912 to 1472 of the family's 1533-position model. The record is from RNAcentral.